Diorhabda sublineata is the source of this 1326-nucleotide long non-coding RNA. RefSeq lists it as uncharacterized. The record is from RefSeq and is a predicted model, not a curated record. NCBI's taxonomy places the organism in Eukaryota, Metazoa, Arthropoda, Insecta, Coleoptera, Chrysomelidae. The transcript is spliced from 3 exons.
UUUAACAUACCUUGAUAUAUUUGAUAUAUAUAUAUAUAUAUAUAUAUAUAUAUAUAUAUAUAUAUAUAUAUAUAUAUAUAUUCAUUAACAAACUUUUAUGUUCUUUGACUCACUCGUGUUCGUAGCAAUAUUAAAUACCAAAAUGAUAAUACUAUACCAUUGUAAUGAUCUGUUCAACUGAAUUACUGCUUUAUUUCUGGGUAUGCUAUGUGUUGCAAAGGGUUUAGAACUUGUGAUGCUAUAUUUACACAGUCACCUAGGCUUGGCGAUCGUUUACAAGCUCCACGUCUUUACAAAAAUUAGAUACCAUGUAUACGCUUGUAUGUAUGUUAGAAUGUUCCGGACAGGCAAACAUGACGUGUAUUUUGGAAUUGUGUCGGUAGUUGCGUUUGACAAAAUAUAUAUCUAAAUUAUUAAGGAAACGAAAAAAUUGACAGAGAAAAUAGUGAAUGUUAAAAAUUCAUAGAUCCGUAAAAGAUCCGUUCGGCCACUCGUGAGUGAAUCUAAACAUACGCCAAACAUGUAAAUAUGUCGCAAUCGGUUACCACAAGUUUUUCCUUGACCAAGAUCACAUUCGUCGCAUUCAGCGGACGUACUGUUACCCAUUAGUAACGGCAUUGUAUAAAGAAUAGGAUUCUUUAUACAAUGGUAACGGUAACGAUCUAGAACAUGUUGAGCGUUUGCUGUCAAGACUUUUUUGUUUUCUGUGUAUUGUUAUUUUAUGACAGAUGUAUUUUCUUGCCAAUUCAUUACUUUUAUCUUAAUAAACGAACUCAGUGAUUUUUUCACAGAACACAGUUGAUAACAAAUUUCACUUUGGCUACAGUUACCUAUACAAAGCGCUCCGAAGCUUGGAGUCCGCUCCAAAAUGUGUUGAAUUUGAAGCAUAUAUGUCACCGAACGAUUCCGCUAAGGUUUUACAACAAGUGCACAACGGCUUCGUCCGCUAAAUGCGACCAUUGAUCUAUGUUCAAUAACCGACACUAGCCUGUAUCGACUACAAGCACAUGCAAGCAAAACUUCUUACCUCGUAUACUUGAUUAAGUUUCUGGACACUUGUCGAGGAUUGCUAAGAAUCUGAACCACGGUCUUACAUAUCGUGUGUAAGACCAUGGUGUAAACAAAGCAUGAAAAAUCUUAGAAAAUAGCUGUUAUAUGUCAAAAUGCCGGCCGUGGGAUAUAUAAUCGAUUUUCCCAUAUGGCUGCAAUUGUUUGUUUCUCUUUGAAAUACUCUUGGGGUAGAUCAUGAAACAGAAGUUGGUAAGUCAAUUACCAACAAGUGUUCUUCAACAGAGUAAUUGGACAAGAGGACUAAAUAAAACCAGU